CUCCGGUUGAUCCCGCCGGACCUGACUGCUAUCGGAUUGGUACUAAGCCAUGCGAGUCGUUGUAGCAAUACAAGGCGGACGGCUCAGUAACACGUAGUCAACCUAACCUAUGGACGUGGAUAACCUCGGGAAACUGAGAAUAAACCGCGAUAGAUCAUUAUGCCUGGAAUGGCUUAUGGUUCAAACAAUUUAUUGCCGUAGGAUGGGACUGCGGCCUAUCAGCUUGUUGGUGAGGUAAUGGCCCACCAAGGCUAUAACAGGUACGGGCUCUGAGAGGAGAAGCCCGGAGAUGGGUACUGAGACACGGACCCAGGCCCUAUGGGGCGCAGCAGGCGAGAAACCUUAGCAAUGUGCGAAAGCACGACUAGGUUAAUCCGAGUGAUUUCUGUUGAAGAAAUCUUUUGUCAGUCGUAAAACCACAGACGAAUAAGGGGUGGGCAAGUCUGGUGUCAGCCGCCGCGGUAAUACCAGCACCUCGAGUGGUCAGGAGGUUUAUUGGGCCUAAAGCAUCCGUAGCCGGCUACGCAAGUCUCCGGUUAAAUCCAGCUGCUCAACAGAUGGGCUGCCGGAGAUACUACAUAGCUAGGGAGCGGGAGAGGUAGACGGUAUUCUGUGGGUAGGGGUAAAAUCCACUGAUCCAUAGAGGACCACCAGUGGCGAAGGCGGUCUACCAGAACGCGUUCGACGGUGAGGGAUGAAAGCUGGGGGAGCAAACCGGAUUAGAUACCCGGGUAGUCCCAGCUGUAAACGAUGCAAACUCGGUGAUGCAUUGGCUUAUGGCCAAUGCAGUGCCGCAGGGAAGCCGUUAAGUUUGCCGCCUGGGAAGUACGGACGCAAGUCUGAAACUUAAAGGAUUGGCGGGGGAGCACA
RNAcentral lists this ribosomal RNA (870 nucleotides) under uncultured archaeon. RNAcentral's name for it is "bacterial SSU rRNA". It matches the Rfam family "Archaeal small subunit ribosomal RNA", at positions 1 to 880 of the family's 1478-position model. The record is from RNAcentral.